RNAcentral lists this ribosomal RNA (371 nucleotides) under uncultured bacterium. RNAcentral's name for it is "bacterial SSU rRNA". It matches the Rfam family "Bacterial small subunit ribosomal RNA", at positions 114 to 481 of the family's 1533-position model. The record is from RNAcentral.
UACAUCGGAACGUACCCUGUCGUGGGGGAUAACUAACCGAAAGGUUAGCUAAUACCGCAUACGACCUGAGGGUGAAAGCGGGGGAUCGCAAGACCUCGCGCGAUAGGAGCGGCCGAUGUCAGAUUAGCUAGUUGGUGAGGUAAAGGCUCACCAAGGCGACGAUCUGUAGCGGGUCUGAGAGGACGGCCCGCCACACUGGAACUGAGACACGGUCCAGACUCCUACGGGAGGCAGCAGUGGGGAAUUUUGGACAAUGGGCGCAAGCCUGAUCCAGCCAUUCCGCGUGAGUGAAGAAGGCCUUCGGGUUGUAAAGCUCUUUCGGCAGGAACGAAACGCUCUGGGCUAAUACCCCGGGGUAAUGACGGUACCUG